AGAGGAAGUAAAAGUCGUAACAAGGUUUCCGUAGGUGAACCUGCGGAAGGAUCAUUAGAAGAAUCUGUACUAAGCUUCGUCGUAAGCCCAGAGCUACAAUUCUAACACACUCUGCGUACCUUUCCUGUUGCUUCCGUGGGGCCGGGUUCGUGCACGUUCGGGCACGUUCCCCAGAUGCUUCGUUGCUACCUGUCAGUCUUUCUGCUGGCUUGUCCCUCCGGGAGGUUACAAACCAUUUGUAUUUAUUUUGCCUUCUGUCUGAAUCAUGUUAAUAACAAUCGUUAAAACUUUCAACAACGGAUCUCUUGGUUCUCGCAUCGAUGAAGAACGCAGCGAAAUGCGAUAAGUAGUGUGAAUUGCAGAAUUCAGUGAAUCAUCGAAUCUUUGAACGCACAUUGCGCCUCCUGGUAUUCCGGGAGGCAUGCCUGUUCGAGCGUCAUGAGAAGAUAUUUCAAGCUCUUUUUUGCUUGGUCCUGAAGGUUGAGUGUUGCUCUUGUACUCAUUCACCUUUGAAAUUUACAGGCGGACUGCAUCGUGUUCCUUUUGGCGUUAUAGGAUAACUCUUUCGCUUGGACUCGGUGGCCUGUCCUGCCUCAAAACCCUAUUUUGACGUUUGACCUCGGAUCAGGUAGGGAUACCCGCUGAACUUAAGCAUAUC
This 658-nucleotide ribosomal RNA is filed under the name Otidea sp. KH-2014f. Its description in RNAcentral is "eukaryotic LSU rRNA". The stretch from base 286 to 439 matches the Rfam family "5.8S ribosomal RNA". Lineage: Eukaryota; Fungi; Ascomycota; Pezizomycetes; Pezizales; Pyronemataceae. The record is from RNAcentral.